AACGAACGUUGGCGGCGUGGAUUAGGCAUGCAAGUCGAACGAAUCUCAGUUGUGUAGCAAUACAUGAUUGGGGGAAGUGGCGAAAGGGGCAGUAAGGCGUGGGUAACCUACCCUGGGGAUGGGCAUAGCCGUUCUAACGAGCGGGUAAUACCCAGCGAUUCGGCCGAGGGGACAUCCUCUUGCCGGGAAAAGAGUUUCGCCUCGGGGAGGGGCUCACGUGCUAUUAGCUAGUUGGUGAGGUAACGGCNCACCAAGGCAAAGAUGGCUAGCGGGUGUGAGAGCACGACCCGCGCCACUGGCACUGAGACACUGGCCAGACACCUACGGGUGGCUGCAGUCGAGGAUCUUCGUCAAUGGGCGCAAGCCUGAACGAGCGACGCCGCGUGUGCGAUGAA
Molecule: ribosomal RNA, 395 nt
Filed under: uncultured bacterium
Lineage: Bacteria
Description: bacterial SSU rRNA
Rfam family: Bacterial small subunit ribosomal RNA
Source: RNAcentral